CCAUUCCUCUCCUUUGGUGUGACACAGAUUCUCUGCCUGAGCCCCAUCCAAGGUGUUGGACUCCCUGCAGUUACAGCACAGUCUCAACACCAGGGACAUGACUUCCUGCUUCUCUGACAGCGUCUGCAUUGUGACACUGGCAGCUCUUCACCUCUUCUUCAUUGUUGCUGGUCUCUUGGUAUCUGCAGGAGACUGCUCUAGAUGAUCUACACACACCAAGAGAGCUUUGCUUCAUGUGGAGACCCUACAGUCAACACAGAGAAAACACAUAAAGGAAAUUUGCCUUGUUCUGGAAGAUGGAAAGCUGGUUGUAAAAAUAAGCACUGCUGAAUCACAACAUGCCUUCCUCCUGCUCUCCCUGCCCAGCAGUCCCAGCCCACAUCAGGGCUGACACAGGAUGGGAAAGAGCAGCUUGGAUGGGGAGCACCAAACUCUGCAUCAGUGCUGCCCACGCCUUCAUGGACAGACCAUCCCUCACACGCCGUGCCCCUUCCUUGGCAAGCUGCUCAAAGCACCUCCUAGUCAACAAACCCCUCUGGGGCAAACACUGCAAAGUGGGAAAGAAUUUGCGUGGCAGAAAAUGUCACUGAUGUUGGUGACAUGUUGGAGGAGAGGGUGCUUGGCCAGCACUGCAGCGCCCCUUGGCAAGAAAGGAGGACUGCCAUGGCUACUGCUCUGCAGCCUGAGAGCUGCAGUGACAACAAACUGCAGCACACCACCUUGGAAGUGAGGGGUACUUCCCAGAAGUCAUUUGCACAGACAAGUCAAUUUCCACAGACAAAUGUGGUUGCAGUCCUCACUUUAUGCCAGUGGGCUCAGCAGAAAAUCUCUCCUCAUAGUGCACACUCACUUUUGUGCUCUCUAGGAGUCUUAUCUACACACCCCACCCCAACCCACACACUCCCCCAAUCUCUCGGCCUUUUGUGUUUCACAGGAAACAAGUAGAUAAACCACAUCUUUCAAUUUCCUAAUUAUGCAAAAACGUAGAAACUCCUAAACUUUCAGAAGCUCAAAAAAUGCUGACAUGGUUGGAAAAAAACAGGCAAAGUGGAGACCUGAAACCAAAUGGGGAUUUCACACUGGGAUGUCAUAAACAUUACGAAGAUGAGGGGUGUGCUCACAGAACACUCACAUGUUUUUGCUGAAACAGAACAGCGGUGGAUGGUAAAGAGAGCCCCAUCUUUGAGGAAGGACCCAGCAGGAGGAAAAUCUUUUGUCUGAUGGAGCAAUCCAUGAUUCUGAGAAGAGAAAACAUUGCGUUGAUUGUUGCAGAGAGGAACUUGCUCAGCUCAGUGGGGAGGAACCUGGCUCUAGCACUGCUCUCCAGCAGGACCCUGGGGAUUUCUAGAUGUGUUUUUGGCCAGACCACUUCUUCUCUCCCAGCCUCCCUCUUUCCUUGGAUCUGUGCCUGCCUCAGAGCUGUGGGAUAACCAGGACUUCAUCCAUUCUGCACCAACAUGGGGACAUGCAAAUGCACUAAGUGCAUGCAAUGGAGCCCCAGCAAGAAGCCAGAGAGCAGCUAUGCCUGUGCUGUUGCUCCCUGAUUUCUGAGUGCCACAGUCACUGCCUGUCCAUUGGCUGUCACAUGUUUGUGUUCCUGGGACACCUGGAGAGGCUCAGUUCAUCCCAUCAGUGCAGCUGCUUGUUCCCCUUCUCCCUGGUUUCACAUGUUCACUCUCAAAUCUUCUCCUUCUUGCCAGUUGCUUCAGACCACAUGAUUUAACCCUUUGCAAAUUUUCCCACAUUCAGGAACAAUUUUGGGCAAUGGGAAGGGCAUCCAAAGAACUGAACCUGCAGGGUAGGUGGGCUGGUGGUGAGAGCAGCCUGUUGGAGCCCACUGCUGCUAGCAGGGAAUGCUGCAGCCCAUGGUACCAGUACUUACAGAGCCCUUUUCCCCCAGUUCCCACAUCAUUACAGCCUGUACAGGUCUCUAGCUUCUCGCUUGCUAUUUCCUUGUUCCAAUGUCUGUAUUCUUUUUCCUUGGGAAACAGCAGAGUGACAGGAAGCAGGAAUCCCUGAUUCUGGUGAGUUCUGGCCAUGAGUGCCACAAUUGUCAGCCAGAUGCCAAGAAACCCAUGUCAUUCACAGGCAACAUUUGUUUCCUUAGCAGCUCUUCUGUUGUCUGGCACAUUGUCAAGGGCAAAGGAAGAGGGCAGGUUCAUCAAGCACUGCUGGCCAGGCUUGCAGGCAGCGUGCAGGCUUGGAGGACUGACUGCAGCAGAGCAUGGGCGGCGUUUUCUGCAGCCUGUGCUGCUGCUUUGACAUCAAAUUACUCAGGUCCUGUAGGUUAAUAUGGUUACCGUUCCUAUAUAGGAAAAGAUGUGUUAAAACACCAGUUUGAAGGGCAGGACUGUUGUGAGGACCUGAGCACCUUCCUCCUAAGAAGCUUUGGCCUGUCUGCAGGGCAGCUGUACUACCUUGUCCUGGAUGAGGAGCUGCUGCCUGUCCUGUCCCAAACCUGUCCCAACCUCUCUUUCUGUUUCCACAACACUGAGAGGAGAACAUGAGGGUGGUGUCUCUGUGGCUCUCCAGCUCCUGCUUUAACUAAAAGGAUGUUUAUUUCCUGCAAAGGAAAGCACAGUCAGCUGUCAUGCUAGAGGAAAAUAAAACACACUGCCAGACUGGUAUAUUUUACACAUCUGCACAGAGAUUUCAUCAGAGCUUAACUUGGCUUAUCAAACCAAGCCCUAAUUUUGCACAUCACUAGUGGACAAGCUCGGGGGACUAAUGCAGACAGGGACAUGCUCAGUUUGUUCCCAGUGUGGUUGUCACAUGAGACAGUCCCAGCUGGAGUAAGCAUUGAAAGUAUUGAAAAUGGACACUGAGCAUGUGGAGCUCGGGAAAUGGAAGAAUAUGACAUUAAUGCUGCAGAUAUUACACAUUCCUGGUGAUCUGCUGCUGAGUGGUGCCACAUGGCUUCACUGCGUGGUGCUUGUCCGGCACAUUUGUUGCUCCAGUGAAAUUUGGUUCCUUCAAAACACCCCAUAGGCUGAGGCAUUGCAGGGUGUCCUGUAUGACUGUGAGAAUCAGAAAUUCAUGGUAGCAUUGGAGGAUCAGAAAUGUGGACUUUUUAGGUAGAGAAGGAGUUAUUGUCCACACCUAAUGGUGGCCUUGGGAGUGGAUUAGAGAAUCAUGCAGCAAAGCAUCUUGACUCCAUGAGGGUCCUGAAUCUUCCUGUUGUUUCUUGCAAUUCCUUUAUCUGUAUCUAUCAUGGAAUGGGUAAUCAUGCCCAUUUCAGCCUAACAUUGUCCCAUUUUCUUUUUAUUUCCCCUUACACUAUUACACAUAGCAAUCAUUUUUGGCCAUGAACAUUUUUAUUUUUGUUAACUGAGGUAUUUCUCACAACAAAAAUCUUUCUAAGUCUGGUUACUGUUUUCCCUUAUUGUGAAUAUUCAUUCAGCACUUACCUUUGCCAAAGAUGAUGUAGUGCAAGCAGGUGUCACAGCCGUACGGAAAGCACAUUUCAUUUCUGACAGUGAUCCUGCUGUUUCAGUAGAAGCCUACCCCAUGCAGAGAUAGGCUGGUUAGAUCAAACUGUACUAAUUGCAGAGUGAUUUGGAAAUCUGUUCCACUUGCAAACAGAAUGAAUCCAACACUUUGUAACAUUGAAUUAACAAAGGUCACAUUUCAUAAAUAUUACCAAGCAAUUUUCAUGGAUAAUGCAGCAGGCUAGUUAAUGAUUAGAGCAGUAAACCUCUGACGUAAAGCCACGAUGAAUAAGGGACAUAUUUUUACAGCUUCCGUUAUUAUUGCCUCAGGGAUCUUAACUAAAAGCAGCAGAAAUUAUUAGGUUCCAACAUAUCUUUAAAAUCUAACCAGUCAGGCUGUAUCUGGUCUUCCCAAUGGCUUUUGUAUUACAAACUAGAAAAUUCAGGAUUUCAGAGUAUCAGUUAGAUUCUCAGUGGGAAAAAAAAAAAAAGGCAUACUGGUUUCAGUCCAGUUCUACUGGACUCUGCAGUGUAAAAACCAGUUUUGGUAACUGGUGGGAAUUGGCAUAGCUCAGAUUAAGAAGGGAUGGAAUUCUCCCUCAUGCCCCAACUGCUGAAUCUGCUGGAUCAGGGCAGCAACCUUUAGUAAAGAUGUAGUUCUGCCCCAAGGACUGAUCCCAGGGACGGGCUCUCCUCCGAAAACUUGGUCUCAACUGGGUCAAAACACUUUUUCUUAGAUUGGAAUGAAUUACCUGAGCAGUAAUCUUGAUGAAGUCUGUGGGAUUAGCUCUGUAGGGAACCAAUAUUGAACAUAAGUAAGGGAAGAUGAUAGAAUGAAUCCUUAUGAAUCCCUGGGAUUAAACAGAAAUCUUGGGCCCAGGUAUAAACAGAGGACUCAAAACCAGUGAAUGUAAUUUUCUAGGACUUAAUUAGGCAUGUUUUUAUCUGAUAGUCACACACUCAUAGACAACCAGUAUUUCUUAGUAGGGUUUCAUCUUCUGUGAGCUAUUUGUGUCUGAAUUUUAUGGGUUAGAAAACCUUGGUAUACAGCUGUGGAACAACUGCCAUCCAGCAGUGCUGAAGGAUGCUUGGGAAUCAGCAAAAUUCCAGCAGGUAUUUUAUAUUUCCUUCAUCCAGAAGAAACCAACAGGGAUGGAAAGUAUUAUAUAUUGCCAAUCUAUAAUACAUUUUUGAGAGAAAUUAUGUGUGAAACAUGCAGCCCUUUGUGAAACGUGCAGUGAUGUCCAGGUAUUUGGAUGAAGAGGUGGAACUUGUUACAUCUCCAUUUGGGAAGGCCAUUUGAUGAGAUGAAAUGUGAAUUGUCCAUGCACUGACACCAUUUGGACAUGACUGGUUUUAAUUUUCAAUUUUUAGGUGCUCAUGCUCUAAGGCCAUUCAGAACCUAAAGUUAAAACUUAAUUCUUUGAAAACCUAGUCCAAUUAACAUGACAGAAAAAAACAAAACCAAAUCAAACAAAACCCCAACAUUAAUGGAAGUAGCAACUCAGCUAAACAUAAAAUAGCCCUAAUUGUGAAAGCCAGCCUAAAGCAGCAUCAGGACCAGAGUCAGAAGAAACCUAGAAGGCUUUUUUCCCACAGCUGGACCCAGAGGACCCUGACAGGCAGAGGGCUGCAGGGUCACUGCUCCCUGGAGGGCUCACCCUGCCUGCAGACAGCACUUUCUCCAGCCCUGCCUCCAUCCCAGCUGGAACGGGCUGAAAAAUAACUGGAAGUUUCUUGUCAGACCAGACACACAGCACAGCCAGUUCUUCAUUGACAAAUGAGAGAAAGAAAACAAAACAUCACACUGUCAUUUAAAAAUAGCUUCAGCAGAAAUACCAGGGGCAGAGCUUUCACCGCGCAGAGAUCAGCGACUGAUUAGGGAGGGUUAUCAGCGUACCUGGUGCCGGAUAAAACCCGAUCCUGCCGCAAGGCGCUCUCACUCAGCCGGACACAUUGUGGGGGUGUGGUGAAUGCCUGAGAAACUCUAGAAGUUUUCUGAUAAUUCAGGAGUUUGAAACAAGGGGGUUCUGCUCCUUGCCUGCAAUGCCACUUUGGGAAAACUCCAUGUGGUGCCAAGUGGCAUUUUUGGAUUUUGGUGGGACAGGGCCACUCACUGUUCAUGACAGAUGCAAGCUGGCUUGGUCUGCUGCCAAAGUGGGGAGAGCUGUGCAAGGGUGAUUCCCCCCUGUAAAUGAUAGUGAAAGCAUUUCUAAAGGAGAGGCACCAAAGUUCAGCCCAGGUUUGGGGACUUCCAUUUUUAAAGCACAGUGUGUGCGACAUGCAACAGUUUUCCAAUGGCAAAGCUCAAAUUGCAUGACCCAGGAUUUAGGGUUAUUGCAACUUUUAACAUUCCUCCUGGUCUUCUGCCUCUUGAUUCUGCUUAUACAAAGAAUUCAGGUGUUAAAAUUAAUGUAUUUUUCUUGAUCUGUUUAUUGUAAAGUACUUAGGCAUAAUUUAAUUUGCAACUGUUAUUUUGGUCUAUUUGCAUUAUUCUAAUUAUUUGAUCCAAUAGGGGAAUUAUUAUUCACCAGCUGAAGAAAAUUGUGCAAUGAACAAAAACACACCAGUUUGCCUAAGAGACUCUAGGAUGUAUUUCUAGACAAAAGAAGAAAUUGAUGGAAAGAUAUCAAGAGCAAGUCCUGAGUUUUUCUGAGAUGGUACAAUUUGUUAGUUUACCGUAGUCCCUUCAAGAUGUACCUUGACCCAUCACUUGUCCAAAACUUCAUAUCAGGAGCUGUGGCUGAAAUCCAGAUGCUUGAAACACUGUCAGUACUGCAAAAAAGAAAACAAGUAUAUUAGAAGAAAAGCAACUGGAUGAGUAGCUCUGCUAAGUCAAGUGUCAUUCUCAUGACCCUAAGAUUAAAUAUCUUUCCUGUUUUUAUGUAUCCUGACUGUUCUUGACAUGUGACUGCAAAAGCAAAGCACAGCACAAUGGAAAUAUGUGCAAAACUAUCAAAACCACAGAAAGAGACAAAUCAGGUAACAUGGUGACCUACCCCAAAGCAGGGAGUCCCCCUCCUGGGGCUGCCCUCACAGCUGGCACCCAUCCACAGCUGGAUGUGUGCCCUGCUGGUUGGAUGCCAUCAUGUGCAGCGUGCUCGGGAGGGCAGAGUCCCUGCCUCUGCACUCAGGACUGAGGACAUGGCAUCUGCUGCCUUGCCAAAGCCACUUCAUGGAGUGGGCAACGCCCCAAGAGCACAGCAGUGCCUGCAGUCAGCGUGGCCCUCCCCUGCCCCUGGGGUACACCUGCUCACAGCCAUGUUGUGCAGCAAGCAGGGGGAUGCAGAAGCCUCGCUCUGGGUCUCCUUGCAGGAGUCAUCAUGCACCCAUCCUUUCCCCUCUUUUUGCCCCAUUCCCAGGAUCUUGGCCAUGAGGAGUUCCCACCAUUCUUGCUCUUCCAGGCUAUCUUCAAAAUGCUGUCUUGGGUGAUUCUGUAAUCUCCCAGGGAGCUGCAUUUCUGAGACGUCUCUUCCUGCACAAUGUCCAUUCCCUGGUGGGAUCCACAUGGGCCAUUUCUGGGGACAGUGCAGAUCCAUCAUACCACUGGGAUUCCAGUUCUCCCAUCACAAGGCCAGGGCAUUAUUUUGGACUGGUUCUUUACUAAAGCAAUAAGUUACUGUUCUUCAAGCUGAGGGAACAGCAAGUGACAUCUUAGGCAUUUCACUCCCAGCUCAGUUGCCUCUGCUCCAGGCACCACCUGAAAGGAAAACCAGCUGCCCCAGCUCCCCCAGUAAACCAGAGGUGGGAAAAUGCAACUCCCUCAGCACAGUCUGUAGACAUAUCAACUCAGCCUGUGAGUGACUCUGACAAUUUUGCUGCUGAGAUUCCCUGCAGGAAGGAGAAUACUGAAUACAGGUUGUCAAAAUGCCUUUUAGCAUUAGCAGGAUACUCUGCUGCAGGCAGAGUAGGAUACAUACAAAGCCUUAAGCUGUUCCAGGCUUCACAGAGCAGCAGACAGGAAAAUACAUGUGGCUGCACUGGGACACGUUGUUUUCAAAGCCCUGUGUGAUAGCACCAAGUGGCAUAAAUCAGAAUUACCUGUCACAAACUGUAUGUCUCUGUGGCCAUUUCUCCAGUCCUGGCUGAGCAGCAGCUCAAACUCUCUGAGACAGUGGUUACACUGGAAAGAAGGAAAAGAUGUAGCAAUGCAGGAGACGGUAAAAAAAGCACUGAUGCCUGACAAAAAUGUUGAAAUGCAUCCCUUUAGAAAGUAGUGCUGAGGAUGUGUGAGGGCAGGAACAUGAGGGGCUUUCCUGCUUCCUGAGAACCCACAAGUGGCUCCAGGAGCUUCUUCCUUUAGCUUCAAUUUCCAUUUUGGCUUUUCUGUAUGAGGAAGUGCAGGACUCUGCCCCAACUGCACUUUCUGCAGCCCCAGAGUGUCCAGUGUUUCUCUAAAACACUUUGCAAAGUUAAAGCUCAGCCCAUCCCCAGGGACCUUGUGGAGCGAGGCCAGCAGCACAUCCUCCUGGAAGCAGCUAAUGACUGAGCUGCUAAAUACUUCACAUUCCUCAUGGACACCAAUUCAGACUCCAAACCUGAGGAGGUUACUCAGCAUAAGACAUUUGCCUCCUGGAACUCGUCUGAAUAGCAACAAGUCAAAACCUCAGUCCAGACCUCACCUCCAGAUCCAAGCCAUAUCCUGACCAGCCUAAUUGUGAGGAGUCACAGCCUGGGACCUCUGCCUGCCCUGGAGACCAAGAGCAGGAUCUCUAUUCCUGGUGCUGAGCUAUUGCCCACCUGUGGUAUUUAAAGGCCUUUUUCCUAAUUACCUUCCACACCUCCAGCUUCUGUUGGGCUUCCAUCCUCCUCUCCAAAAGUCUCUGCCUGCCUUGGUUUAAGUAACUCAUUGCAAGACACUCUAACCAGGGCUGUCUUAAAACAAAGGUAAGUGUUGGUUUCUUCUCACCCUCCAGUUUGGGUAAGUCACCAUGGUGUGUGAGCAGGUUGGCAGUGAAAAGCAGCCUGGCUUGGACUUACCACUGCCAGAAAAGUUCUGGGCAUUGUGAUGUGGCAACUGAACAACAUCCCAUGGCUCUCAGAAGUGUAUUUUCCAUAUAGGAGGUCAAGAUAGUAAGAGCAGAUUUUGUAGUGUUUAACACCAAUAAUUGCUACUGGAAACAAAAGGUGUUGCUGGAAAUUUAAGGCAGAAGUAAUUUGUCCAUGACCACAUGCUGGGAUCAAGGUUCCAGGGCUCAUAGCUGCUACCCCAGACCUGCUGCUCCAGUACUUGGGGGUCAAAGGCUGAGAGUAGCUGUAUUUUUGGAAGAAGUCCUGUUCUUAGAUGGAUUCAAGCAUAGAGAAAUCAGGACAACAGCUUCAUAAAUGUAUUUCCUUCUGCCUUUCUCACUCAUCACUGACUUGUUCCCACACUUUUUGGCAGCCUCUAGCACUAUUUUUCUUUUCCCCACAGAUUUCUGUGCUGCUUCUGUGCAAAGAGUUUGUCCUGAGGUGCUGCUGUGCUUUGCUCAUUACUGCUAAUGCUGUUGUUCUGCAAGGUUAUGAGAAGAUGAGGCAACACAGAGCUUUUCAAAUCCAGGUUUCAGUAAGAACAGAGACACGUAUCUCUCCAGUCUGUUGGGGGAAAGAACAAAAAAUAAAUUGCUCUGGUGAUCUGCAGUUGCUGGCUAUUAAUUCCUUUGAGGAUUUUGUAUUGCUUCCAAGGCAAAUACAAGAUUAGCUGAUGGAGUAAUGGAGUAGUAUGGGAUAGAGAUCACAUGGGGGUUCUUGUAACACAGAUGUUAUUUAUUUAGCCUAUGCAGAGCAAACCUACUUACAGAUGUAAUUUUGUAUGUUCAACAUGAUGUCUGUGUGCCCAGUAGCCCCCAGUAUAACCUGAGAAGUCAGGAAUUCUGCCUUUGUGAGCCCCCAGCUCCCGGGCAGGGACAGCUGCCCUUACAUCCACUCAAGUGUGUGCUCCAUCAGGGAGUCACGGUGCAAUCACUUGGCAACGUGCAAAGUGAGCAGGUAAAAAAGCAACCUGGCUGCAGGAAGGCAAGUGGAAAACAGGUCUCAGUCACCUGAAAACUUCCUGCUGAUUCACCCAGCUGCAGGGGCUGCCCAUCCCAGCUGCACCCGUCAGUGGUGGUGCUUGGAAGAAAUGCUGCUGCUGUAAGAAUGCUGCUAUUUUGUAAAAGCAUGUGCAGGACCUUCCAGUGCCAGAUAUCCAGACGUGCUAAUGCAAAAUGCAUUAGCCCAAGCAGCAGGAGCUCCAGGGUUGCUGGCGCCAUUGAGUUCCACUCAUUUCAUCUUUAUUAUAAAUACUGCAUUGUCGUCUCAUUCUUUUCUCUCAUCCUCUCUUUAGAAAAGAAUUAUAAGGCUCUAGUUGACUGGUCCCUUUGACUUAGUACAGUUGUUAAACCACAGGCAGUAAAUACCUCUUUCAAUUGUUUAAGGCGGAUGUAUUUAUUUCAUUGGAACAACUGAAUGAAAUCUGUAAGAGCUGAAGAAUCCCCUCUUUCAUGGCAGCCUCUGCUUUUCUACCUCUGAGCUGAAUGCAAAAGGAACUCUUCCUUAAACCUGCCGUGUGAAAUCAGCCCACCUUCAGGCUCCCCACUCUCAGCUUCGUUUUUUGUGGUUCAAGAAGUAUUGCAGCCUCCGAAGACUCACCCGCCCACUUGUAAAUAGUGAUCUUUCACCAGGCAGAUCUCAGCUGACAAAUGUUAAUUGUUAUGCAAACUAUCCAGAAGAUGAGCUCUUCUCCCAGGACUGAAGGGCAGCCACGUCCCAGAUGAAACGAGGCAGCUGUUUAAACAGCGCGGGGUGCGCUGCCCCGGCUGCCAGAGCAGCGGGAGAGCGGAGCUGGAGCUGUGCCAUGCCACCAUGGUUAACACCCCCGCUUUUGUGGAGAAAGCCUCCACAGCACAGCUUGAGAACUUUAACUGACCCCACGCCAUCAGGAAGAUGAUGCUGUUUCAGUGGAAAACAGAUAUAUAAAAAUUGUUUCUUUGGGCUCAUGCGGUGGGAUGCUCCCCGCUUCAUCUGGGAAAAACAAAUUCUGAUUGUUGGGGCAGGAUAAGGAUGGGAGAGCAACGCUUUUCCCGGACCAGAGGAUUUGAAACGGACCAGGGAUGCUGAGAAUGCCGUGCAAAUCUUGUUCUUACCAGGAGGUAGAUCCUUCCCUGAGGUGGGUGGUGCUGCUGGGCCGUGGCUCCCAAAGCAGUCCCCUGGGAAGCUGGGAACCAGCUCCUGUUCUGUGAAAGGCUCCAUUGCUGCUGCUCACAACUCCUCCAGAGGCUGAAAGGAAUUCUGAACGUGCUGUCAGCUCAUUUUUCCUUCCAGUCCCAUUUGGUCACUGCUCCUUCUCUGCACUGCUCCAGUGCGGGGUCUUUGGGAUCACUAUGAAGAGUGCGAGUCAUGCCAGAAAAAGAGAGGGACUCACCACAGCUGCUCACAAAAACCACCCUGACAGGGCUGCAGGGCACUCUGUGAGCGAGUCCUGCCCUUUGCUGGGCAGCCUGCAGGGAGGAGGUGGUUCAGCAGGGCAGAACAGCUCCAGCAGUGAAAGGUGCCACUUGCUGUUCCCAUGCCUUGGAUCAGGCUGGCUGCAGAGAAAAUUUACAUUUCACACCAUGUAUGAGACACACAUGGAGACCACUAGUGUGUGUUGCCAAAUUAUCUGUUAUCAGCCGCAUCAUUGCGCUUCUGGGGUAAAAAACCCACUUUUCUGGCCACCAGAUAACAUGGAGAAAUGUUUAUUCCCUGGCAGUAACUUAGGAUAAUUUUCAGGGGUUGCUGUGUUCCUGAUGAAUACAUGGAGAAUUACUUCUGUAUGUGGCUCUGCUGAAUUUCUGAGCACUGAACCAGGGCUUCGUGCCAUCCUGUACUUCUUGGGAUGGUUUCAGAGGUUUUGUUGCUAGCUUGUUUUGAUUUUUAAGACAGCUUUGUACUAUUGCAGCAGAGAACUUCAGUUUGGAUUUGUUCAGUUUGGGUUUUUUAAAUAAAUAAAAUGCUUUAUCCCACCUGUACAUAUAUUCAAAUGUACAGGAUUUCAUAAGCUUGAAGAGCAUUUUAACAAAAAAAAUACAUUGAAAGGAAGAACAGAGGAAGGACUAAGAUUUGAAGAUUCAGACAACAAGGAAGUUUGUAAUGAUUCUUACUUUCUUGAAAUUUAAUAGCAACAUUUUAAUUGAUUUCAGUGGCAGCAGGAUAGGAGUCUACUUAAAAGGGAAAAAAAAAUGGCAUUUAACCAAAAAAAUCUGUUCGAACUUCACAUCUCCUUCCCUCCUUUUGCAUCAGUUCCCAGUAUCAGGCUGAGCAGAACAGCCAUGUGCUAUUUCCAUGCUCCACUUUGCCCUUCAACAGCUCUCUCUGGCAACUUAUUUUACAAAGUAUGGGAAAACUCCUUCCCCAAAGGGCUGUAAAGCCAUGGAUUCAGUUGCCAGGGCAGGCCACCCAAGGCCCUCAGCAAGGGCUCUUGGCUCAGCCCACAGUAUCCAUAGUUGUUUUCAACUGAGACUGAGCUGAUAAGGGGAUUUCCUUUCAAGUGGAAAAGCAUAAACUAUAUUUAUAUGCAGAUAAUUUCCUAUUUGUUGGGUUUAGCUUAACAGGCUGAAAUUCUGGCCCGUCUCUCCAGUGCUCCCCAACCACAUGAAACAUUCACAAUUGUCCGGGUGGGAGUUGUUUUGCCAGAAGCUGGAGAGAUGCCACAGUGCAGCUGCUGUGCAAGGCAGAGGUGGAAGGACACGGCCAGUCCUCCUUACUCUGCUUUUUCUGAAAGGAGCUAGCACAGACCACAGCACCUGCCACGUUCAUUACAGCUACUUGUGCCACUGACCCAUCAUUUGUCCAUUACCUGGGCAAAGUACAUGUCUUUUGAUCCAAACUUUCAAAAGAGAAAUCCCUGAAGUAUAACUAAUGCCUGCUGAGCCAACCUGAGGACUCAGUGAUUUUGCAGGCAAGCAGGACCAUGCUCAGCUAAGGAGCAGGAGAGAUUGAAUUACAUGAGUAGUGGAGGAAGGAUUUACUGAAAAAGCUGGUAGAAGACUCCCAAACUAUUAAUGCCCAGAAGGAAGGGAAUAUCAAACCAGCAGUACUUCAUGUUCAUCUGGGAAUCCUACUCCAUUCUUCUCUACAGGGAUUUCCAGAGGAUGAGACCCCAGUUCACAGCAAACUGAUAAUUAUUAGUCUUCUCUGUAUCCAUUUACUUGCAAAACACCUCAGGAUCCCUCCCUGCAGGAAUUGUUCAUGUUUCUUGUAUUACCUGGGGGUUUUAUAUUGCAUUCAGUUCACUGACUGCCAGAGGAGUAUGCUCUAGAGGCUUAAAGAUUAAGCUUUUAUUUAAAUAUAUAUUCCUCUAAUGUUGUACAUCUGGUUUUGUUUAAACUUGUUUCAGCAAUCCUUUGCUUUCUGGGUCCUUUACUGCUGGUCCAUCUAAACUCAGGCUGUGGAUGUUACCAGCAGCUCUAGCUGAGCCAAUGUCCUUUCCAAGAUCAGGAUUCCUCCAGUUUCACCCUCCUGGGAACUCAUGGGGUGGAUCAAUAUACACAAAGGUUUUGCAGAGCAGUGUCCUAAAGCCACCUUUGUUUUAUACUCUGAAAGUCCAGAAAAUAAUAAAAACACCUCUGAAAGACAAUAAAUACCUGAAUGUCUUACCCUUU
This is a long non-coding RNA of Passer domesticus (house sparrow), 13027 nucleotides long. RefSeq lists it as uncharacterized. The record is from RefSeq and is a predicted model, not a curated record. The transcript has 4 exons. NCBI's taxonomy places the organism in Eukaryota, Metazoa, Chordata, Aves, Passeriformes, Passeridae.